UACCGAAAAAUGGCAUCAUCCGGGUCAGUACCGGGAAAAGGUAGAAUCCGUGCGAGUGUCGAAAAACUGUCCCGGGGAGUACCGGAAAAGGGUCGAAUCUUUGUGAGUACCGAAAAAUGGCAUCAUCCGGGUCAGUACCGGGAAAAGGUAGAAUCCGUGCGAGUGUCGAAAAACUGUCUCGGGGAGUACCGAAAAAGGGUCGAAUCUGUGUGAGUACCGCAAACUGGCAUCAUCCGGGUCAGUACCGGGAAAAGGUAGAAUCCGUGCGAGUGUCGAAAAACAGUCUCGGGGAGUACCGAAAAAGGGUCGAAUCUGUGUGAGUACCGAAAAAUGGCAUCAUCCGGGUCAGUAUCGGGAAAAGGUAGCAUCCGUGCGAGUGUCGAAAAACUGUCCCGGGGAGUACCGGAAAAGGUUCGAAUCUGUGUGAGUACCGAAAAAUGGCAUAAUCCGGGUCAGUACCGGGAAAAGGUAGAAUCCGUGCGAGUGUCGAAAAACUGUCCCGGGGAGUACUGGAAAAGGGUCGAAUCUGUGUGAGUACCGAAAAAUGGCAUAAUCCGGGUCAGUACCGGGAAAAGGUAGAAUCCGUGCGAGUGUCGAAAAACUGUCUCGGGGAGUACCGAAAAAGGGUCGAAUCUGUGUGAGUACCGAAAAAUGGCAUAAUCCGGGUCAGUACCGGGAAAAGGUAGAAUCCGUGCGAGUGUCGAAAAACUGUCCCGGGGAGUACCGAAAAAGGGUCGAAUCUGUGUUAGUACCGAAAAAUGGCAUAAUCCGGGUCAGUACCGGAAAAAGGUAGAAUCUGUGUGAGUACCGAAAAAUGACAUUAUCGGGGUCAGUACCGGGAAAAGGUAGAAUCCGUGCGAGUGUCGAAAAACUGUCCCGGGGAGUACCGGAAAAGGGUCGAAUGUGUGUGAGUACCAAAAAAUGGCAUCAUCCGGGUCAGUACCAGGAAAAGGUAGAAUCCGUGCGAGUGUCGAAAAACUGUCCCGGGGAGUACCGGAAAAGGGUCGAAUCUGUGUGAGUUCCGAAAAAUGGCAUUAUCGGGGUCAGUACCGGGAAAAGGUCGAAUCCGUGCGAGUGUCGAAAAACUGUCCCGGGGAGUACCGAAAAAUGGUUGAAUAUGUGUGAGUAUCGAAAAAUGGAGGAAUCCGGGUCAGUACCGGGAAAAGGUAGAAUCCGUGGGAGUGUCAAAAAACUGCCCCGGGGAGUACCGGAAAAGGAUCGAAUCUGUGUGAGUACCGAAAAAUGGCAUAAUCCGUGUCAGUACCGGGAAAAGGUAGAAUCAUGCGAGUGUCGAAAAAUUGUCCCGGCGAGUAUAAAAAAGGGCCGAAUCUGUGUUAGUACCGAAAAAUGGCAUAAUGGGGAUCAGUACCGGAAAAAGGUAGAAUCUGUAUGAGUACCGAAAAAUGACAUUAUCGGGGUCAGUACCGGGAAGAGGUAGAAUCCGUGCGAGUGUCGAAAACGGUCCCGGGGAGUACCGGAAAAAGAUAGAAUCUGUGUGNNNNNNNNNNNNNNNNNNNNNNNNNNNNNNNNNNNNNNNNNNNNNNNNNNNNNNNNNNNNNNNNNNNNNNNNNNNNNNNNNNNNNNNNNNNNNNNNNNNNAAAAAGAUAGAAUCUGUGUGAGUACCGAAAAAUGGCAUAUUCCGGGUCAGUACCGGGAAAAGGUAGAAUCCGUGCGAGUGUCGAAAGACUGUCCCGGGGAGUACCGGAAAAGGAUCGAAUCUGUUUGAGUACCGAAAAAUUGAAGAAUCUGGGUCAGUACCAGGAAAAGGUAGAAUCAUGCGAGUAUCGAAAAACUGUCCCGUCGAGUAUCAAAAAGGGUCUAAUCUGUGUUAGUACCAAAAAAUAGCAUAAUCGGGGUCAGUUGAAAAGGUAGAAUCCGUGAGAGUGUCGAAAAACUCGACCGGGGAGUACCGGAAAAGGAUCGAAUCACUGUGAGUACCGAAAAAUGGCAUAAUCCGGGUCAGUACCGGGAAAAGGUAGAAUCCGUGCGAGUGUCGAAAAACUGUCCUGGGGAGUACCGGAAAAGGACCGAAUCUGUGUAAGAACCGAAAAAUGGCAUAUUCCGGGUCAGUACCGGGAAAAGGUAGAAUCCGUGCGAGUGUCGAAAAACUGUCCUGGGGAGUACCGGAAAAGGACCGAAUCUGUGUAAGAACCGAAAAAUGGCAUAUUCCGGGUCAGUACCGGAAAAGGUAGAAUCCGUGUGAGUGUCCAAAAACUGUCCCGAGAAGUACAGGAAAAGGAUCGAAUCUGUUUGAGUACCGAAAAAUGGCAUAAUCCGGGUCAAUACCGGGAAAAUGUUGAAUCCGUGCAAGUGUUGAAAAACUUUCUUGGGGAGUACCGAAAAAAGACCGAAUCUGUGUAAGAACCGAAAAAUGGCAUAUUUCGGGUCAGUAUCGGGAAAAGGUAGAAUCCGUGCGAGUGUCGAAAAACUGUCCCGAGAAGUACAUGAAAAGGAUCAAAUCUGUUUGAGUACCAAAAAAUGGCAUAAUCCGGGUCAAUACCGGGAAAAGGUUGAAUCCGUGCGAGUGUUGAAAAACUGUCCUGGGGAGUACCGGAAAAGGAUCGAAUUUGUGUGAGUACCGAAAAAUGGCAUAAUCCUGGUCAAUACCGGGAAAAGGUAGAAUCCGUGCAAGUGUCGAAAAACUGUCCCGGGGAGUACCGGAAAAGGGUCGAAACUGUGUGAGUACCGAAAAAUGGAGGAAUCCUGGUCAGUACCAACAAAAGGUAGAAUCCGUGCGAGUGUUGAAAAACUGUCCUGGGAAGUACCGGAAAAGGAUCGAAUCUGUGUAAGAACCCAAAAAAUGGCAUAUUCCUGGUCAGUACCGGGAAAAGGUAGAAGCCGUGCGAGUGUCGAAAAAAUGCCACGGGGAGUACCGGAAAAGGGUCGAAUCUGUGUGAGUACCGAAAAAAUGGCAUCAUCCGGGUCAGUACCGGGAAAAGGUAGAAUCCGUGCAAGUGUCGAAAAA
This 2965-nucleotide long non-coding RNA is filed under the name Vitis vinifera (wine grape). RNAcentral's name for it is "long non-coding RNA (VVIN_LNC001452)". Lineage: Eukaryota; Viridiplantae; Streptophyta; Magnoliopsida; Vitales; Vitaceae. The record is from RNAcentral.